GAUGAACGCUGUCGGCGCGCUUAACACCUGCAAGUCGAACGGAUAGGCCUGCUUUCCCUUGUGUCUUGCGGGUACUCGAGUGGCUAACGGGUGAGUAACACGUGAGUGAUCUGCCCCCAACUUGGUUAUAAGCCUGGUAAACUGUGUCUCAUUCCCGAUAGUACUGCAGGGUGUUUCCUUUCGUGGAACACUAUUUUCUAUUGGUUAUGGAUGCGCUCGCGGCCUAUCAGCUUGUUGGUGGGGUAAUGGCCUACCACGGAGUGUACGGGUAGCCGGGCUGAGAGGGGGGAACGGCAAAUUGGGACUGAGACACGGCCCAGACUGAUACGGGAGGAAGGAGUGGGGAAUAAUGGACAAUGGGCGGAAGCCGGAUGCAGCGACGCCGAGAGGAGGAUGACGGACUUCAAGUGGUAAACUCCUUUCGAGAGCGAGGAAGAAACCUGGUUGGAAGGGUGGUGACGGUAGUGGUAGAAGAAGCACCGGCUAACUACGUG
Molecule: ribosomal RNA, 494 nt
Filed under: uncultured bacterium
Lineage: Bacteria
Description: partial 16S ribosomal RNA
Rfam family: Bacterial small subunit ribosomal RNA
Source: RNAcentral